This 1731-nucleotide ribosomal RNA is filed under the name Triticum aestivum (bread wheat). Its description in RNAcentral is "partial small subunit ribosomal RNA". Lineage: Eukaryota; Viridiplantae; Streptophyta; Magnoliopsida; Poales; Poaceae. The record is from RNAcentral.
AUGACUCCGCAGCGCGGCGCCAACCUGCAGGCGGUCUUCAACAAGAUCCUGAACAUGGCGGUGGCGGGCGCGCUGGCCAAGGACCAGAUGGUGCGUCGCAUGUUCGUGUUGAGGGACAUGGAGUUCGACGGCCGAGGGGUUCGCCGCGCUAGAGGUUGUGUUCUAGAACGUGGGCACGUCCAAGGUGGCAUCGCCGGUGGUGGCCGCACAGGCCGGCUUGGCGCUGGUGAGCGGCUAGUCGAAGAACCUGGUGCACCUCUUCCUGGAGGCCGACGGCGUGCCCACCCCCUUGCGCAUCAUGGUCGACGCCAUCUCGGCACCCUAGGAGAACGCUCCGAACGACAACGCAGCCCAGUCGCCCCACCCACAACACGCGACCCACUCCCCCGACAACCAUAUCCACUCCUCCCACUCUCAGUCACAUCUCGAAUCCUCGAGAGUUUCGACCGGCGCCCCUCGCCGCCGGGCAUGGAGGCCACCCCCCGCAAGCUCGUUUUCUUAUCCGGUGACGCACGGGCGGUGGAGGUGUCGCCACGCGCGCCGCGGCCUCGCUCGGAGGUGGAGGAGCGAGUAGAGAGGGCGCGCUCGGUGGGCGGCAUGGCGAGGCAGAAGGUGGAGAGGGAGUGGGCGGCCAUGCCUCGGCGGAGCAGAGGCGGCGAGAGUUGCGGAGCCGAGGAAGGGAGGUUGCGGAAGGCCCGCGAGGAAGACGGAGGCGACCUCGCGGAGGGGAAGGGGAGCAGCGGGCGGACGAACGCGGAGGCGGAGCUCAACAUGCCGCCUGGCUUCCGCUUCCACCUCACGAACGACGAGCUCGUCGUGCACUACCUCUGCAGGGAGGUGGCGGCCCAGCCGCAGCCGUGCCCCUCAUCGCCGAGCUCGCUCUGUACAAGUUCAACCCCUGGGUCUGCCUGGUGCGUCUUCUUCCUCUUCCCUGCUGCUCGCUACCAUGUUUUCCUCCUCCUGCUUCGUCACUCAUUGGUUUCGUCUGAUUCAACAAUGUAUGAUGGCCGUUGGGCAAUGAUGUUGGGCUGGUACCAUUGUCCUGGCCCGCUGGAGGGAGGGACGGCUGGAGGGAGGGAGCAGGUCGUUCAGGAGGAAGGGAGAUCGGACCGAACGGAAUCGUUCGGGAGCUCCCGUCUCCUGACCGAACAAUACGUUCGAUCUGGCUCCUCCUCUCACCGAACGUCCGCGCGAUAUCGGGAAAUCUUGUAUCGCGCACUAAUGUCGGAAGUGUGCACCGGCGGCGGGUUGCACCAGCGCGGGAGUGUCCCGGCCACGAGCAGGUUCUGCAGCAGGGGCCCCGCCUCCAUGACGAGCUACAGCAGCCGACCCCUCGGUGGCAGCGGCUUCUUCGCGGUGAGCAGAGCACGGCGUCGUCCCCGCACUCAGUUUAUUGAGGGUGAUGAUAGGCGCCGGCGCUUUGGGCCGGUCACCCGCGAGCCGUACGAUUCUGCCCCUAUCAGCCUUCCAAUCCUUAUCCUUCCCCUGCCCAUCCCUUUCCUCCUCACCGCACGAGAUCUGAGAAAAAGAAAAACACGAGCACAUGGCAGCCGCACCUCGCUACCACGCCGCACUGCCCGUGUCCGCCCUCCCCUCGUUUGCCCUCGUUGUCGACAGUUGCUGUCGUGCUCGCCGUCGACGCUCGCAACAAAAGAAAAUGCUACCUGUGUCACAUCUAGUUGGAUCCUUGGAAAAAAUGCUGGUUCCAGCAAAACAAGAUUACAAUGGUAG